UGAGCUGUGAUGGGGAGAAGACAUUGUGUCUUCGAGUCGUUGAUUUCACACUGCCGAGAAAAGCCUCUAGAUAGAAAAUAGGUGCCCGUACCGCAAACCGACACAGGUAGUCAAGAUGAGAAUUCUAAGGUGAGCGAGCGAACUCUCGUUAAGGAACUCGGCAAAAUGACCCCGUAACUUCGGGAGAAGGGGUGCUCUUUAGGGUUAACGCCCAGAAGAGCCGCAGUGAAUAGGCCCAAGCGACUGUUUAUCAAAAACACAGGUCUCUGCUAAACCGUAAGGUGAUGUAUAGGGGCUGACGCCUGCCCGGUGCUGGAAGGUUAAGAGGAGUGGUUAGCUUCUGCGAAGCUACGAAUCGAAGCCCCAGUAAACGGCGGCCGUAACUAUAACGGUCCUAAGGUAGCGAAAUUCCUUGUCGGGUAAGUUCCGACCCGCACGAAAGGCGUAACGAUUUGGGCACUGUCUCAACGAGAGACUCGGUGAAAUCAUAGUACCUGUGAAGAUGCAGGUUACCCGCGACAGGACGGAAAGACCCCGUGGAGCUU
Molecule: ribosomal RNA, 545 nt
Filed under: Staphylococcus argenteus
Lineage: Bacteria; Bacillati; Bacillota; Bacilli; Caryophanales; Staphylococcaceae
Description: partial 23S ribosomal RNA
Rfam family: Bacterial large subunit ribosomal RNA
Source: RNAcentral